RNAcentral lists this ribosomal RNA (253 nucleotides) under uncultured bacterium. Its description in RNAcentral is "partial 16S ribosomal RNA". It matches the Rfam family "Bacterial small subunit ribosomal RNA", at positions 524 to 776 of the family's 1533-position model. The record is from RNAcentral.
UACGAAGGGGGCUAGCGUUGCUCGGAAUUACUGGGCGUAAAGCGCACGUAGGCGGACUCUUAAGUCGGUGGUGAAAUCCUGGAGCUCAACUCCAGAACUGCCUUCGAUACUGAGAGUCUCGAGUCCGGGAGAGGUGAGUGGAACUGCGAGUGUAGAGGUGAAAUUCGUAGAUAUUCGCAAGAACACCAGUGGCGAAGGCGGCUCACUGGCCCGGUACUGACGCUGAGGUGCGAAAGCGUGGGGAGCAAACAGG